Molecule: ribosomal RNA, 482 nt
Filed under: uncultured bacterium
Lineage: Bacteria
Description: partial 16S ribosomal RNA
Rfam family: Bacterial small subunit ribosomal RNA
Source: RNAcentral
GACGAACGCUGGCGGCGUGCUUAACACAUGCAAGUCGAACGGAAAGGCAGCGAUCCGCGUACUUUGGUGUAAAUAUCACUUGGGUUAAGUGGCAGUCGGCUGCGUAACGCGUGGGCAUAACUCCUCUUACAAAGGGAUAGCCCCGGGAAACCGUGAUUGAUACCCUAUGACGCAUUCAUAGGGCCUCUGAAGGAUGUUAAAGUUACGGCGGAAAGAGUUGGGCUCGCGUCGCAUUAGCUCGGUGGUGAGGUCACGGCCCCCCAAGGCGACGGUGGGUAACCGGACGGAGAGGGUGAACGGUCACAUUGGAACUGAGACACGGUCCAAACUCGUACGGGAGGCAGCAGUGGGGAAUAUUGCACAAUGGAGGGAACUCUGAUGCAGCGACGCCGCGUGAGCGAUGAAGGAAUUCGUUUCGUAAAGCUCUGUUCUAUGGGAAGAAAAGGACGGUACCAUAGGAGAAAGCCCCGGCUAAAUACGUG